This 465-nucleotide ribosomal RNA is filed under the name uncultured bacterium. RNAcentral's name for it is "bacterial SSU rRNA". It matches the Rfam family "Bacterial small subunit ribosomal RNA", at positions 338 to 795 of the family's 1533-position model. The record is from RNAcentral.
CCUACGGGCGGCAGCAGUGGGGAAUAUUGCACAAUGGGCGCAAGCCUGAUGCAGCCAUGCCGCGUGUAUGAAGAAGGCCUUCGGGUUGUAAAGUACUUUCAGCGGGGAGGAAGGGAGUAAGAUUAAUAACCUUAUUCAUUGACGUUACCCGCAGAAGAAGCACCGGCUAACUCCGUGCCAGCAGCCGCGGUAAUACGGAGGGUGCAAGCGUUAAUCGGAAUUACUGGGCGUAAAGCGCACGCAGGCGGUCUGUCAAGCCGGAUGUGAAAUCCCCGGGCUCAACCUGGGAACUGCAUUCGAAACUGGCAGGCUGGAGUCUUGUAGAGGGGGGUAGAAUUCCAGGUGUAGCGGUGGAAUGCGUGGAGAUCUGGAGGAAUACCGGUGGCGAAGGCGGCCCCCUGGACAAAGACUGACGCUCAGGUGCGAAAGCGUGGGGAGCAAACAGGAUUAGAUACCCCUGUAGUC